GAUGAACGCUGGCGGCGUGCCUAACACAUGCAAGUCGAGCGAACACACGAGGAGCUUUCUCCCCUGAGGGUGGCGGGGGACGGGUGAGUAACACGUGGAUAACCUACCUAUAAGACUGGGAUGAUUUCGGGGAACCGGAGCUACUACCGGAUAAUAUAUCGAACCGCAUGGUUCAAGAGUUAAAGACGGUUUUGGUGACAGUAAUAGCUGGAUCCGGGUCGCAUUAGUUAGUGGGUAAGGUAACGGCUUAGCAAGGCAACGAUGCGUAGCCGACCUGAGAGGGUGAUCGGCCACACUGGAACUGAGACACGGUCCAGACUCCUACGGGAGGCAGCAGUCGGGAAUCUUCCGCAAUGGGCGAAAGCCUGACGUAGCAACGCCGCGUGAGGGAUGAAGGUCUUCGGAUCGUAAAGCUCUGUUAUUAGGAAAGAACAAAAGUUUAUGUAACCAUGCACGUCUUGACGGUACCUAAAGAAAAAGCCACGGCUAACUCCGUG
This 497-nucleotide ribosomal RNA is filed under the name uncultured bacterium. RNAcentral's name for it is "partial 16S ribosomal RNA". It matches the Rfam family "Bacterial small subunit ribosomal RNA", at positions 28 to 507 of the family's 1533-position model. The record is from RNAcentral.